RNAcentral lists this ribosomal RNA (252 nucleotides) under uncultured bacterium. RNAcentral describes it as "partial 16S ribosomal RNA". It matches the Rfam family "Bacterial small subunit ribosomal RNA", at positions 524 to 776 of the family's 1533-position model. The record is from RNAcentral.
UACGUAGGGUGCGAGCGUUGUCCGGAAUUAUUGGGCGUAAAGGGCUCGUAGGCGGUUUGUCGCGUCGGGAGUGAAAACCAUGAGCUUAACUCAUGGCUUGCUUUCGAUACGGGCAGACUAGAGGUAUGCAGGGGAGAACGGAAUUCCUGGUGUAGCGGUGGAAUGCGCAGAUAUCAGGAGGAAAACCGAGGGCGAAGCAGAUCUCUGGGCCGUAACUGACGCUGAGGAGCGAAAGCGUGGGGAGCGAACAGG